AGAGCGAACGCUGGCGGCAGGCCUAACACAUGCAAGUCGAGCGGCCGUAGCAAUACGGCAGCGGCAGACGGGAGAGUAACACGUGGGAACGCGCCCUUCGGUUCGGAAUAACUCAGGGAAACUUGGGCUAAUACCGGAUACGCCCUUACGGGGAAAGAUUUAUUGCCGAAGGAACGGCCCGCGUCCGAUUAGCUUGUUGGUGAGGUAACGGCUCACCAAGGCGACGAUCGGUAGCUGGUCUGAGAGGAUGACCAGCCUCACUGGGACUGAGACACGGCCCAGACUCCUACGGGAGGCAGCAGUGGGGAAUAUUGGACAAUGGGCGCAAGCCUGAUCCAGCCAUGCCGCGUGGGUGAUGAAGGCCCUAGGGUUGUAAAGCCCGUUUCGGGCGGGAAGAUAAUGACGGUACCGCAGAAGAAGCCCCGGACUAACUUCGUGCCAGCAGCCGC
RNAcentral lists this ribosomal RNA (449 nucleotides) under uncultured bacterium. RNAcentral's name for it is "SSU rRNA". It matches the Rfam family "Bacterial small subunit ribosomal RNA", at positions 26 to 518 of the family's 1533-position model. The record is from RNAcentral.